AACGCGAAGAACCUUACCAGCCCUUGACAUCCCGGUCGCGGGAACGAGAGAUCGAUCCCUUCAGUUCGGCUGGACCGGAGACAGGUGCUGCAUGGCUGUCGUCAGCUCGUGUCGUGAGAUGUUGGGUUAAGUCCCGCAACGAGCGCAACCCUCGCCCUUAGUUGCCAUCAUUAAGUUGGGCCCUCUAAGGGGACUGCCGGUGAUAAGCCGCGAGGAAGGUGGGGAUGACGUCAAGUCCUCAUGGCCCUUACGGGCUGGGCUACACACGUGCUACAAUGGCGGUGACAGUGGGAUGCAAUGGGGUAACCCUGCGCAAAUCUCAAAAAGCCGUCUCAGUUCGGAUUGUGCUCUGCAACUCGAGCACAUGAAGUUGGAAUCGCUAGUAAUCGCAGAUCAGCACGCUGCGGUGAAUACGUUCCCGGGCCUUGUA
This 430-nucleotide ribosomal RNA is filed under the name uncultured Alphaproteobacteria bacterium. RNAcentral describes it as "bacterial SSU rRNA". It matches the Rfam family "Bacterial small subunit ribosomal RNA", at positions 958 to 1385 of the family's 1533-position model. Lineage: Bacteria; Pseudomonadati; Pseudomonadota; Alphaproteobacteria. The record is from RNAcentral.